GCUAGAGACAGGGUUUCACCGAAACAGACAGGAAGGGAGAGAGAGAGACAGACAGACAGAGAAAGAGAAUGAGACAGAAGACAGACACAGUGAGACAGGCAGAGAGAGAGAGAGAGAGACAGAGACAGAGAGAAAGAGACAGACAGAGAAAGAGACAGACAGAGAAAGACAGAGACAGACAGAGAGAGAAGGAGAGAAACAGGCAGAGAGAGAGAGAGCGAGAGAGAGAGAAACAGAAAGGGAGGGUCUCAAACUCCUGACCUCAAGUGAUCCACCCUCCUAAAGUGCUGGGAUUACAGACGUGAGCCACCGCUCCCAGCCUUUUUUUUUUUUUUAAUCAGGCAGGCUCUGAAGCCAGUGUAGGCUCAGAGAGACUCUCUGUACUUUUUUCUAUUCAGAACUAUAAUUUGGUAUUCCUACACUCUCCCAGCGACUCCAAGUUAUCUCUCUUCUUGCAACCCACCAGUAGCUGUUUUCUGCCAGAAUUUGUGGAUGUUUUCUUGUGCAUGUACCACUUAGUAUUCAGCCAAAGACUAAGGGAAUCCCUUUGUAUUUCUUGAGCUCCUUUUCUGUGUACACCUCUACUUUCUUCUAUUCCGCUCAAAAAUUACAGCCACUACCACCAUUUGGAACUCUGAUCUCUGCUUCUUCAGCUCAGCAACAUAUUUGUAUUCUAAUUAGGCUUCACCUCUCUGCACCCUGGUUUGGAAAGUGUGCCCGGGCAGAAAGCUGUGUUGAAUACGGAGCACAUUUCAUGUAUUUGCAUUUUUCUCAAAGAUCACAGGAAGCACUAUCUGUUGUUCAAUGCCUAGAUACAGUCGCUUCAUAUAUUUGCCAAUUUUGUUGUUUCUGAUGGAAGAGUAAGCCUAAUACCUGUUACUUCAUCAUGGCCACAUCUAGAAAGCCUUGGCAUUUUUUUUUCUUCUUUGCUUCUUUUUUUUAAAAUUAAAAUUAAU
RNAcentral lists this long non-coding RNA (956 nucleotides) under Homo sapiens (human). RNAcentral's name for it is "non-protein coding lnc-LCOR-2:1". The record is from RNAcentral. Lineage: Eukaryota; Metazoa; Chordata; Mammalia; Primates; Hominidae.